This 253-nucleotide ribosomal RNA is filed under the name uncultured bacterium. RNAcentral's name for it is "partial 16S ribosomal RNA". It matches the Rfam family "Bacterial small subunit ribosomal RNA", at positions 524 to 776 of the family's 1533-position model. The record is from RNAcentral.
UACAGAGGUCUCGAGCGUUAGGCGGAAUCACUGGGCUUAAAGCGUGUGUAGGUGGAUCGUUAAGUACCUUGUGAAAUCCCACGGCUUAACCGUGGAACUGCUUGGUAUACUGGCGGUCUUGAGCCACUUAGGGGCUACCGGAACAAAUGGUGGAGCGGUGAAAUGCGUAGAGAUCGGGAGGAACACCAGAGGCGAAGGCGGCGACCUGGACAAGUACUGACACUCAACUACGAAAGCGUGGGGAGCAAACAGG